AGAGUUUGAUCCUGGCUCAGAAUCAACGCUGGCGGCGUGCCUAACACAUGCAAGUCGAACGCGAAAGUGGAGCAAUCCAUGAGUAGAGUGGCAAACGGGUGAGUAACACGUGGGUGACCUGCCUUCGAGCGGGGGAUAACGUCCCGAAAGGGACGCUAAUACCGCAUAACAUCCUGCCUUUUAAGAGGUGGAGAUCAAAGCCGGGGAUCGCAAGACCUGGCACUUGAAGAGGGGCCCGCGCCUGAUUAGCUAGUUGGUGGGGUAAUGGCUCACCAAGGCAACGAUCAGUAUCCGGCCUGAGAGGGCGGACGGACACACUGGGACUGAGACACGGCCCAGACUCCUACGGGAGGCAGCAGUGGGGAAUUGUUCGCAAUGGGCGCAAGCCUGACGACGCAACGCCGCGUGGAGGAUGAAGACCUUCGGGUCGUAAACUCCUUUCGAUCGAGACGAAUGGUUUCCGGGUGAACAAUCCGGAGAAAUGACGGUACCGAGAGAAGAAGCCCCGGCUAACUCCGUGCCAGCAGCCGCGGUAAUACGGGGGGGGCAAGCGUUGUUCGGAAUUACUGGGCGUAAAGGGCUCGUAGGUGGCCAACUAAGUCAGACGUGAAAUCCCUCAGCUUAACUGGGGAACUGCGUCUGAUACUGGAUGGCUUGAGUUUGGGAGAGGGAUGCGGAAUUCCAGGUGUAGCGGUGAAAUGCGUAGAUAUCUGGAGGAACACCGGUGGCGAAGGCGGCAUCCUGGACCAAUACUGACACUGAGGAGCGAAAGCCAGGGGAGCAAACGGGAUUAGAUACCCCGGUAGUCC
This 809-nucleotide ribosomal RNA is filed under the name uncultured bacterium. RNAcentral's name for it is "bacterial SSU rRNA". It matches the Rfam family "Bacterial small subunit ribosomal RNA", at positions 8 to 796 of the family's 1533-position model. The record is from RNAcentral.